RNAcentral lists this long non-coding RNA (1998 nucleotides) under Homo sapiens (human). RNAcentral's name for it is "non-protein coding lnc-AARS2-2:1". The record is from RNAcentral. Lineage: Eukaryota; Metazoa; Chordata; Mammalia; Primates; Hominidae.
CAGAAGGAACAUUUUGAAUACAUCUCCAAGCAGCAAUCCCUCUAGCCUGCAAUGCAGGCUGUCUAUGGUGGGAUCUACAAGAUGAUAUCAAAAUUUCCUGAGAAUUCUGGGUAGCUAAGACUUAAAAAUAACACCCCAGCCCUCUUUCUGUGACAAGCCUUGGAAAAACUGAACAGAGGCUGGGCUGGAGGAAGCUCCAUGAGCCAUGUCCCAAGGCUAGGUCUGUGAGGAAGUUAGAGAGAGAACAGCCAGUACUAGCUCUUCCUCCUCCUGCUGCCGCCGAGGCUCCUGUUUUCUCAGCCACCUCCAGCAGUUCCUCUUUUCAGCUGUGGCUCGGGUGAGAAUUAUGGAAUUGCUUGGGAAUCGUGCUGCUGUUUAUUAUUUUUUUCUUUUCUUCUGUCUCCAAAUUACAAUUCCAUCUUCAACCCACUGGGGUAGAUUUGCCUCAGGAGAGGUUCCAUUUGUCUUGUUCAGAUUUUCUUUCCCAGUGAGCAUAGCUGCCUAUUACCAUUGGUGCAGGUAAUGCUGGAAGGACAUUUCCGAGCAGCUUCGGGUGUGGAGGAGAAUUGAGUUCUGUGGCUACAACUGGCUCAGCCUAAGGAAACAGGGGAACCCAGACCACAGACUCGGGGCCUCUGGGUCAACCAGGACAUGAAGAAAGGCCCUGCCCCUGAGUGGAAUGGAGGACCAGGACCUGGACAGACAUGAGAUGUCAUUUUUAGCAGGAGCCACCUCUACUCGGCUCCAGGUGGUUGUGUGGACAUAGGGUAAGUGUGGUUCCCAGUCACUCACGAGAAGCUGAAAACCUGGAUUUUUAGAAAGUGAAAGCAAAAAAGCAGAGUUAGGCGGUGAGGUGGGUUAAAUACUUCACCAUAAAAAGUUCCAGAAACUUGGAUCUGAAUGGGGGCCUUUGAAAUAUUUCAGCCUGACCUUUUCAUGUACAGAUGAGAAAACUGUGAUCCAGACCUGGCCAGUGACUUGCUAAGGGUCACACAGCUAAGUAACAGCAAAGGUAGAACGCAGGGCUCCAGUCCCUGCCAUGAUUCCCCAACUUGGAUCUAGUAAUGCUCUCUAUAGAUGAGACGACAGCCUUCUCAGCUUCUCGGUCCAUGGGACUAUAAAAUGGAAUGUUGGGCUUGGCACAUCACAAUGCAAUUGUCUAUUUACAAGUUUAUUCCCAGUCUCCAAUGGAGGUGAAUGCCCCAAGGAUGGGGACCAUGACUUCCUCAUCUUUGUCACUGGGUACCUUCCACAAGGCCUGACACAUAGCAGAUCUUCAGGUGCAAGAGAUUCAGACUCUUUGUGCUCUCCUUCAGCAAGGCACAGGUUGAACUCAGGAAAAGUAAGUCAGAGAUUAAAUAAAUGUCUUCAUAUAAAGGUGUGAGUUUACAAAGAAGAAUCAAAUGAGGAACCCAAGCAACUGUUGCUUUCACAUAACUUGGAGGUUUCUAAGGCAGUGUUUCUCAAUGUCAAGAUGUCACGUUUCAAAAGACAACCUGAAUUCUCAGAUGAUUUCAAUGCAAGAUUAAUUUUCACUUGCCUCCAUUUUACAAAUAAAUAAAUGCCAUACUCUCCUCCUCCUCCUUCUCCUCCUCCUUCUUCUUCUCCUUUCUUCUCCUUCUCUUCCUUCUCCUUUUCUUUCUUCUCCUUCUGCCAUAAAGGAGGCUUUAUUGGCCUGCUGUGAACAGAACACUCUCAAGUAAAUAAAGUCUCACUUUGCCCUCGGAUAGGAGAUUAUUUUGAAGUUCAGGUUCAAUAGUUUCAGAAAACACAUAUGUUUGUGUCUAGUUCGAACUGGUUUGGUAGGUAUUUAAGAAAAAACAUUAGUUCAAUUCAGAGUUCAGUCAAAAAAUAAUAAUACUUGGAUUCGGUUUCGGGUUCAGUGAAUCAGGGCAGUGUUUUCCAAUUUGGGGGUCAUGGUUCGGUUCAGUUCAAGUUCUUGUUAGAACAGCCCAGCAUGGGGCUUGGCCCCUGGGACACGGCCAGCCUGGCCCACCA